Molecule: long non-coding RNA, 265 nt
Organism: Aedes aegypti (yellow fever mosquito)
Lineage: Eukaryota; Metazoa; Arthropoda; Insecta; Diptera; Culicidae
Exons: 2
Source: RefSeq, a predicted model, not a curated record
AUUGUUUACAACGGCUAUUGGGGUGAGCUGUUAACGAUCUAUUUUGCAAGCGGAUGGAUUUUGCUGAAUUUACCUGCGGUUCCAUUGCCGUAUCCACAAAUUACGUCCAUCGGAUGGAAGAACAAUUGAGAGAAGGAGGAUUUCGUGCGAAUCUUAUCAGCUGGGGAAUGAAACCUGAUACGGUGACCCACCAGAGAUCAAAUACAACAAACGACAGCUAUACAGAUCAACCACCCGAUCGAACGACCAGAUCGUUUCAACGGCU